Sus scrofa (pig) is the source of this 701-nucleotide non-coding RNA. The record is from RefSeq and is a predicted model, not a curated record. Lineage: Eukaryota; Metazoa; Chordata; Mammalia; Artiodactyla; Suidae.
GACCGGUGCCAUCGAGGAUGAGCCAGACCUACUCCCCUGUUGGAGCUGCAGUCCAAAAGCAGUGAACUUAAUGCGUUCUGGCUUUUCUCACUUUCUUCUUGGCUACUCACUUCGUGUAGGCCCAGAGCCCCGGCCCGCUCCGAGAGCCCGGGGCUCCUGGAAGGUGGCUUGACCUGAGCCGCAAGUACCUGCCAUGUCCAGCCACACAGGGCUCCUCACCCCUGGGCAGCAGGAAGUAGCUACAGAAGAGAAGACCAUCGCCCCAACCCCAUAUGACAAAAGGCUGGAAUGAUAGGUUCCCAGGAGGACAGAGACAGACCCCACCCCCUACCCCCAACUGUGGCUCUUCACCCUGGAGCUAAAAUGUGGUGCUCAGGUUGGGCGGCAAGAAACAGUGGUCUGCAGAAAACAACUGCCUGCAUAGAUUAACCACCUACAGGGAUUAACUGCCCUCUGUCCUGGGGCUCAACCCCCUACCCCUCCCUUCCCCCUCCCCUCCUCCUUCUUCAUUGUUCCUGCCACAAAUUCCCACCAUAAACUCCAAGCACAGAUUCCCGCCACAGAUCUUUCUAAGCCUAGCUCCUCCAUGGUGAGCUCAGCCCGUGCCCCUCUGAUGCCUUAAUAAAUCUCUCUUGCUUUACCCCCUUGGCCUCGUGCAUUCCUCCCUCUGCAAACCUAACAGGUUCCAUCAUGGGGUUUGC